This 509-nucleotide ribosomal RNA is filed under the name uncultured bacterium. Its description in RNAcentral is "partial 16S ribosomal RNA". It matches the Rfam family "Bacterial small subunit ribosomal RNA", at positions 29 to 523 of the family's 1533-position model. The record is from RNAcentral.
AACGAACGUUAGCGGCGCGCCUAACACAUGCAAGUCGAACGCGACAGGGGCAACUCUGUUGAGUGGCGCACGGGUGAGUAACACGUAGGUAAUCUCCCCCCGAGUGGUGGAUAACCUUCCGAAAGGAGGGCUAAUACAGCAUAAGACCACGGCUUCGAAAGGAGCUGAGGUCAAAGCGGAGGAUCGCAAGACUUCGCGCUUGGGGAUGAGCCUGCGGCCAUCAGGUAGUUGGCGGGGUAACAGCCCACCAAGCCUAAGACGGGUAGCUGGUCUGAGAGGAUGAUCAGCCACACUGGAACUGAGACACGGUCCAGACUCCUACGGGGGGCAGCAGUGGGGAAUCUUGCGCAAUGGACGAAAGUCUGACGCAGCGACGCCGCGUGGGUGAUGAAGGCCUUCGGGUUGUAAAGCCCUGUGGGGAGGGACGAAUAAGUUUCAGCUAAUACCUGAAGCGAUGACGGUACCUCCUUAGCAAGCACCGACUAACUCUGUGCCAGCAGCCGCCGUAA